UCAUUUCCUCGCCGGGAGACAUGUCCAAA
Molecule: small RNA, 29 nt
Filed under: Bombyx mori (domestic silkworm)
Lineage: Eukaryota; Metazoa; Arthropoda; Insecta; Lepidoptera; Bombycidae
Description: ovarian small RNA-26395
Source: RNAcentral